ACAGUACAAACUGAACAGGCGAUGACCAGGAGGUCAUUUGCCGGGCCAUUGUGGCAGCAGACGUGAAGCAUCUGCGGGACAGU
This 83-nucleotide non-coding RNA is filed under the name uncultured Intestinimonas sp. RNAcentral describes it as "NiCo riboswitch". It matches the Rfam family "NiCo (Nickel/Cobalt) riboswitch aptamer". The record is from RNAcentral. Lineage: Bacteria; Bacillati; Bacillota; Clostridia; Eubacteriales.